This 253-nucleotide ribosomal RNA is filed under the name uncultured bacterium. RNAcentral describes it as "partial 16S ribosomal RNA". It matches the Rfam family "Bacterial small subunit ribosomal RNA", at positions 524 to 776 of the family's 1533-position model. The record is from RNAcentral.
UACGAAGGGGGCUAGCGUUGCUCGGAAUCACUGGGCGUAAAGGGUGCGUAGGCGGGUCUUUAAGUCAGGGGUGAAAUCCUGGAGCUCAACUCCAGAACUGCCUUUGAUACUGAAGAUCUUGAGUUCGGGAGAGGUGAGUGGAACUGCGAGUGUAGAGGUGAAAUUCGUAGAUAUUCGCAAGAACACCAGUGGCGAAGGCGGCUUUCUGGACCAAUACUGACGAUCAGGUGCGAAAGCGUGGGGAGCAAACAGG